UUCUGACCUCGAAUCAGGUGGGACUACCCGCUGAACUUAAGCAUAUCAAUAAGCGGAGGAAAAGAAACUAACAAGGAUUCCCUUAGUAACUGCGAGUGAAGUGGGAUGAGCUCAAAUUUAAAAUCUGGUAGUCUCUGGCUGCCCGAGUUGUAAUCUAGAGAAGUGUUUUCUGU
Molecule: ribosomal RNA, 173 nt
Filed under: Hydnum boreorepandum
Lineage: Eukaryota; Fungi; Basidiomycota; Agaricomycetes; Cantharellales; Hydnaceae
Description: partial 28S ribosomal RNA
Rfam family: Eukaryotic large subunit ribosomal RNA
Source: RNAcentral